GAGAAGGCAUCGCUCUCUCUCACACCAACAGGGCGGGAACCACCGACGCCAAACAUCAACGCAUCAAUAAACGGACGAGUUAGGACAAGCGCAACAUUACAUUUUACCCUCUGAACGAAAUUAGCCAGGCCCCGAUUAUUCUGUUCUCCGCGAAAAAGCCUCUGCUUCUGUCAUUCGCCCUGCUGUGGUUCGUCGCUCGCUCGCUGCCCUCCGCUACCACAGGCACACGUCGUUGUCUUUUUCUUCCCUCUUCUCCUGAACGUCUCACCAGCAUCGGGGGAAUUUCAGCGCCCUGUUCGACUGUCUGCAUCGCGUUUUGGCCGUGUGCGCGUUUUCGACCCUCCAGGGCAAGACAUGACGAUCCCAGUGGCGGCAGACGCAGGAAUUAUGUCGAUUCCUGGUUUUGGUGUGUGAAAAUAGCACGUUUUAUGCGUAAGUUACGCUCAGCACCUUUCCCGCGUAUGUUUGUCUGUGGGCUUUAGCCCAAGACAAGAUAGGUGCAGGCUAUAUAUAUUUUUUUCACUGACUGUCGUUUUAAAUCUACUGCACAGCAACAACCUGUACGGUUUAAUAUUAUCAGUAUUUAAUUACGGUAGAUUCCCGUUGUUCGGUAUAUGUCAAGCCUUUAUUGGUGGUCAUUUUAGACUGAUAAGGAUGGGCCUGAUUUUAAGGCUUGUAGUACAGGGUGUUGACGCGUUUGCUCAGAAGGGAAAAAAAGACUGCAUGGUCAUUUUCACCAUUUAAAUCUAUCCUUCGUUUGGCGUUUUGGAUGAUCUUUAUGGCCCGGUUGUGAGACACAGGACUUAAGAUUUAAUUGUCUUUAUUAAGCGACUGAGGUCAACGGACGGACGGACACAACGCUAAACAGUGGGACUGGGAGUGUUUUUGGUGCGCGUGGAAAUGGACGUUGAACCGCGCCUCCGGUGAUUCCACGGUGGGGAGGGGGUCCUUCUUUUCCUCGUUAUUUUAUUCACAUCCUUGGCGCGCCCCCAUUUCCUGAAAGCACAACUAUAUUUCUUGUCGCGUUUCCCCCCCACGUUUUGUCUCACCUGUAGUAUUUCUCCCCUGUCAGAACAACACCACUAUCAGUGGUCGUGCAUUUUUACGCGACAUUUCCCCCAAACCAAAGGCUCGAAGCUCAACAGUUCGCCUGUACAGGGAGGUGGAGGGGGGACAUGUCAUUUUCUGUCGAUCCGAGCCUAGCCGACCACCAGAAACCAACGGAAAGCGGUAGACUCACUGCCAUGCUUGGUGGGCUUUUCACCCGGAGCCGCGUUGCAACCGAGAGGGAGCCGAACGGGAGGAAAAUAGCGGAC
Long non-coding RNA from Clupea harengus (Atlantic herring), 1316 nucleotides. The record is from Ensembl. Lineage: Eukaryota; Metazoa; Chordata; Actinopteri; Clupeiformes; Clupeidae.